AGUGAACGCUGGCGGUAGGCCUAACACAUGCAAGUCGAACGGCAGCACGGUAAGAGCUUGCUCUUACGGGUGGCGCGUGGCGGACGGGUGAGGAAUACAUCGGAAUCUACUUUUUCGUUGGGGCUAACGUAGGGAAACUUACGCUAAUACCGCAUACGACCUACGGGUGAAAGCAGGGGAUCUUCGGACCUUGGGCGAUUGAAUGAGCCGAUGUCGGAUUAGCUAGUUGGCGGGGUAAAGGCGCACCAAGGCGACGAUCAGUAGCUGGUCUGAGAGGAUGAGCAGCCACACUGGGACUGAGACACGGCGCAGACUCCUACGGGAGGCAGCAGUGGGGAAUCGUGCGCAAUGGGCGAAAGCCUGACGCAGCCAUGCCGCGUGAAUGAUGAAGGUCUUAGGAUAGUAAAAUUCUUUCAGCGGGGACGAUAAUGACGGUACCCGCAGAAGAAGCGCCGGCUAACUUCGUG
Molecule: ribosomal RNA, 467 nt
Filed under: uncultured bacterium
Lineage: Bacteria
Description: partial 16S ribosomal RNA
Rfam family: Bacterial small subunit ribosomal RNA
Source: RNAcentral